RNAcentral lists this ribosomal RNA (402 nucleotides) under Verrucomicrobiota bacterium. RNAcentral describes it as "Verrucomicrobia bacterium partial 16S ribosomal RNA". It matches the Rfam family "Bacterial small subunit ribosomal RNA", at positions 355 to 776 of the family's 1533-position model. The record is from RNAcentral. Lineage: Bacteria; Pseudomonadati; Verrucomicrobiota.
UGGGGAAUUUUGCACAAUGGGGGAAACCCUGAUGCAGCGACGCCGCGUGAUUUAGAAGGCCUUCGGGUUGUAAAAAUCUUUUGUAUGGGAAGAAAAUGACAGUACCAUACGAAUAAGGAUCGGCUAAUUACGCGCCAGCAGCCGCGGUAAUACGUAAGGUCCGAGCGUUGUCCGGAAUCAUUGGGCGUAAAGGGUACGUAGGCGGAUGAGCAAGUUAGAAGUGAAAUCCUAUAGCUCAACUAUAGUAAGCUUUUAAAACUGCUCAUCUUGAGGUAUGGAAGGGAAAGUGGAAUUCCUAGUGUAGCGGUGAAAUGCGCAGAUAUUGGGAGGAAUACCGGUGGCGAAGGCGACUUUCUGGACGAAAACUGACGCUGAGGCGCGAAAGCGUGGGGAGCAAACAGG